GACGAACGCUGGCGGCGUGCUUAACACAUGCAAGUCGAACGGUGAAGGGGCCUGCUUUUGUGGGUCCUGGAUGAGUGGCGAACGGGUGAGUAACACGUGAGUAACCUGCCCCCUUCUUCUGGAUAACCGCAUGAAAGUGUGGCUAAUACGGGAUAUUCUGGGUCUGUCGCAUGGUGGGCCUGGGAAAGAUUGCGCCUUUUUUGGUGUUUUUGGUGGGGGAUGGGCUCGCGGCCUAUCAGCUUGUUGGUGGGGUGAUGGCCUACCAAGGCGGUGACGGGUAGCCGGCCUGAGAGGGUGGACGGUCACACUGGGACUGAGACACGGCCCAGACUCCUACGGGAGGCAGCAGUGGGGAAUAUUGCACAAUGGGCGCAAGCCUGAUGCAGCGACGCCGCGUGAGGGAUGGAGGCCUUCGGGUUGUGAACCUCUUUCGCCAGUGAAGCAGGCCUGCCUCGUUU
Molecule: ribosomal RNA, 458 nt
Filed under: Actinomyces naeslundii
Lineage: Bacteria; Bacillati; Actinomycetota; Actinomycetes; Actinomycetales; Actinomycetaceae
Description: bacterial SSU rRNA
Rfam family: Bacterial small subunit ribosomal RNA
Source: RNAcentral